UCCAUGAAACAAACCUCAUAACUUUCAGAAGAAGACUGUGAAAAUUUCCCUCUUCUCUAAUGACUCUCGCUUAUGGAAGAAUUACUUCACAUCAAAGAGGUGACCCACCUGGAGGAAGGAUUUUUCUUGAGCAACUCAAAGACUGAGGACACAUGUGGGAUCCACUUCUAAUUAUUCAAAAGGUUUCUCAGAUGGUGGUUCCAGGUUUUGUUGCGGCACGCAGGAUCUUUAUUUCAGGAUAUGACGACAGAGUCGGCAGAAAAACUGCAUCUUGUCUCAGCCUGGAGAGUGAAAUAAUCAAGAAGCACAAUCUGUGCUCCUCAGUGAGGACAAACAAAGUUUCUGAAACCAUCUGGGAACAAAAGAUCAUUAUAGAUUUAUCUGAAUGGAACCAAUAUGUCAUGUGGAUGGAGCCCCAUAUCCAGGGUGAUCAGGGUGUUUGGAGCACGUAGUCGGAUAUACCUGGCCUUGACGAAUGCUGGGAGACUGGAGGUUUUGGCCCUGACUCUGCCACUCACAACCUGGGUGAGACUGAGUAAUUCACUUCUUUCCUGGUCUUCCGUUUUCUCAUCUAUAAAUAUUAGGUUUGGGACAUUUUCUCUCUGGGGUACUCCAUUUUCUUUCUGAAGUAUUUGAUUUUUG
Molecule: long non-coding RNA, 642 nt
Filed under: Bos indicus x Bos taurus (hybrid cattle)
Lineage: Eukaryota; Metazoa; Chordata; Mammalia; Artiodactyla; Bovidae
Description: lncRNA (ENSBIXG00005021802.1)
Source: RNAcentral